Molecule: long non-coding RNA, 1504 nt
Organism: Micropterus salmoides (largemouth bass)
Lineage: Eukaryota; Metazoa; Chordata; Actinopteri; Centrarchiformes; Centrarchidae
Exons: 3
Source: RefSeq, a predicted model, not a curated record
UGAGCUUUCAAUUUCACUUGAUACAAAUUUAAUGAAAUUAUUUCGGCAUUCACUGCAUGAAAAGUGGGCGUUUUGGCAGUUAAUGGCACGUUAAAUUGUCGUCUAAGUUCAGGUAAACGGCUACUUACGGGAAGUUUUGGCCAGCACUGGAAAUUGUCAGGAAUUGCCGGUAAUUGACGUGGAUUUUGUUUGUCAGUGUUGCCCCCAUGACCCCCCGUCCCCUAGGUCUAGGGGAGGCUUUCACAUGUAAAUGAAAAUGCUGUGAGCUAUGCAAAGACAGAUUAGGUAAGCCACCUUUUUAUCUCUUUGUGUCUUGGCUUCAGUAAAACAGAAAUCGAGAGCGUUACUAAACAGAGAAUGAAAGGUGGCAAAGUAAUUGGUGGUGUUUUUACAGAGUGCAGAGGAUAGUUGGAGAAAUGUGACGUGCAGGAUGGAACAGCAGAGACUUGGACACACUGGACUAAACAGCAAGAAGAAACAGAGUAUGUUAUGUUACACUGGUUCAAAACCUCAGAAUGAUAAAAGGACACUUUGGUUUAAUAAUUAACUAAUUAAUAACGAAGACUGAGCAUUUACAUUUUACAUCCAGUCAUUUGGCAGACCCAAGUCUAAACACAAGGAGCCGAUGCUGACGCUUCAGUGAUAGGCUUCAGCGGGUGGGACACACACCCGGUUGUUUGAUCUCGCUCAGCCGGCCUUCAGAUUCUAGUAGAAUGCUCAGUAAAGUGCAAAGUGCAAAGUGCUACAUCAAGAGUAAGAAAUCUCAGUAAAGUAAAGUAGAGUAAAGUAUUACCUCACUGCUGCAAACUCUUACUUGCCCAACGGUGCUUUCCUGUGUUUAAGCAUCAUACCCUCUCAACCAGUUAUGUAUGUAUGAAUAAAAUAAGGACUGAUCCUUGGAUCCACACUCCUUACCAGUCGGUGGCAAUAGUGCACAAUUCGUUGUUUGCCAAUCUAGCUAGCUAAUAAUAGUCAAGAAGAAGAAGCAGAAGAAGAAAAAGAAGGAGACCUCCAGACUAAAAAAGCACAAUGUGGCCAGGAAGGAGAGAUGGCUGUUCUUAAAUCCAACAACUGCUCCAGUGUGGAAGAACAAGAAGAAAAGACGGGCAAACAAACCAAAAAUUGUGGUAAGACUUGGUCACUAAUAAGCUAAAAGCAGGUUUGUUCACAAAAGUGACUUUUGUCUUGCCUUAUUUCACAGGAAGCGGCCCGUCUCCUGCACAACUCUGAGGGAAAUUGCAAGCGCCAUGAUGCUGAGCAAGGACUGCUCGCCUGAUAACGAGGUGGUCACGUCCUUUUUGGUCUCCGGAUUUACACGUUGUGGAUCCUGAUGCCAUUGUGUGGAAGUAUCAAACUUUACCGUGGUGUUUUAUUUUAUGUUUUUGUACAGUGGCUACGCUAUUUAUUUAUAGCACACAUUUUUCCCCCUCAGGCAGGAACGUCCGGUACAGUAAACCAGAUCUUGCUGCUAGUGCGAGUUCUGCCCGACGUCGAUCGAGAGGGA